This 426-nucleotide ribosomal RNA is filed under the name Vibrio sp. R-687. RNAcentral's name for it is "bacterial SSU rRNA". It matches the Rfam family "Bacterial small subunit ribosomal RNA", at positions 258 to 676 of the family's 1533-position model. Lineage: Bacteria; Pseudomonadati; Pseudomonadota; Gammaproteobacteria; Vibrionales; Vibrionaceae. The record is from RNAcentral.
UAAUGGCUCACCAAGGCGACGAUCCCUAGCUGGUCUGAGAGGAUGAUCAGCCACACUGGAACUGAGACACGGUCCAGACUCCUACGGGAGGCAGCAGUGGGGAAUAUUGCACAAUGGGCGCAAGCCUGAUGCAGCCAUGCCGCGUGUGUGAAGAAGGCCUUCGGGUUGUAAAGCACUUUCAGUCGUGAGGAAGGUGGUAUUGUUAAUAGCAUCUAUNUUUGACGUUAGCGACAGAAGAAGCACCGGCUAACUCCGUGCCAGCAGCCGCGGUAAUACGGAGGGUGCGAGCGUUAAUCGGAAUUACUGGGCGUAAAGCGCAUGCAGGUGGUUUGUUAAGUCAGAUGUGAAAGCCCGGGGCUCAACCUCGGAAUAGCAUUUGAAACUGGCAGACUAGAGUACUGUAGAGGGGGGUAGAAUUUCAGGUGU